Non-coding RNA from Komagataeibacter medellinensis NBRC 3288, 69 nucleotides. Lineage: Bacteria; Pseudomonadati; Pseudomonadota; Alphaproteobacteria; Acetobacterales; Acetobacteraceae. The record is from Rfam.
UGCAACUGCUUCUUGGACGUUUCCUCCCUAAACUCAGCGGUGCUUGUGCACCGCUUUUUUUUGUCCUGU